UACGGGGGGGGCAAGCGUUGUUCGGAAUUACUGGGCGUAAAGGGCUCGUAGGCGGCCAACUAAGUCCGACGUGAAAUCCCCAGGCUUAACCUGGGAACUGCGUCGGAUACUGGUUGGCUUGAAUCCGGGAGAGGGAUGCGGAAUUCCAGGUGUAGCGGUGAAAUGCGUAGAUAUCUGGAGGAACACCGGUGGCGAAGGCAGCUCGCUGGGACGUGACUGACGCUGAGACGCGAAAGCGUGGGGAGCAAACAGG
RNAcentral lists this ribosomal RNA (253 nucleotides) under uncultured bacterium. Its description in RNAcentral is "partial 16S ribosomal RNA". It matches the Rfam family "Bacterial small subunit ribosomal RNA", at positions 524 to 776 of the family's 1533-position model. The record is from RNAcentral.